RNAcentral lists this ribosomal RNA (279 nucleotides) under uncultured archaeon. RNAcentral's name for it is "partial 16S rRNA". It matches the Rfam family "Archaeal small subunit ribosomal RNA", at positions 1047 to 1325 of the family's 1478-position model. The record is from RNAcentral.
AAGACCCGUGCCCACAGUUGCCAGCAUGUCCUCCGGGAUGGUGGGGACACUGUUGGGACCGCCUCUGCUAAAGAGGAGGAAGGAAUGGGCAACGGUAGGUCAGCAUGCCCCGAAUUAUCCGGGCUACACGCGGGCUACAAUGGUCAGGACAAUGGGUAUCGACACCGAGAGGUGAAGGCAAUCUCUUAAACCUGUCCUUAGUUCGGAUUGUGGGCUGCAACUCGCCCACAUGAAGCUGGAAUCCGUAGUAAUCGCGUCUCAAAAUGGCGCGGUGAAUAU